AACGUAUUUAGUAAACUUAUGUUACGGCCAUAAGAUUUGAUGUAUAUAACGUCAUACGUUU
This 61-nucleotide transfer RNA is filed under the name Moniezia benedeni. Its description in RNAcentral is "tRNA-Arg". The record is from RNAcentral. Lineage: Eukaryota; Metazoa; Platyhelminthes; Cestoda; Cyclophyllidea; Anoplocephalidae.